This 521-nucleotide ribosomal RNA is filed under the name uncultured Glomeromycotina. Its description in RNAcentral is "SSU rRNA". It matches the Rfam family "Eukaryotic small subunit ribosomal RNA", at positions 569 to 1092 of the family's 1831-position model. Lineage: Eukaryota; Fungi; Glomeromycota. The record is from RNAcentral.
AGCAGCCGCGGUAAUUCCAGCUCCAAUAGCGUAUAUUAAAGUUGUUGCAGCUAAAAAGCUCGUAGUUGAAUUUCGGGAUUAGUACGUUGGUCGUGCCUUCGGUACGUACUGGUGUUACUGAUUCCUACCUUCUGACGAACCAUCAUGUCAUUAAUUUGGUGUGGCGGGGAAUCAGGACUGUUACUUUGAAAAAAUUAGAGUGUUUAAAGCAGGCUCGCGCUUGAAUACAUUAGCAUGGAAUAAUGAAAUAGGACGUUGACCCUAUUUUGUUGGUUUCUAGGAUUGACGUAAUGAUUAAUAGGGAUAGUUGGGGGCAUUAGUAUUCAAUUGUCAGAGGUGAAAUUCUUGGAUUUAUUGAAGACUAACUACUGCGAAAGCAUUUGCCAAGGAUGUUUUCAUUAAUCAAGAACGAAAGUUAGGGGAUCGAAGACGAUCAGAUACCGUCGUAGUCUUAACCAUAAACUAUGCCAACUAGGGAUCGGAUGAUGUUAAUUUUUUAAUGACUCAUUCGGCGCCUUACG